UGCAGUGGUAAACGCAUAGCUGAAAGGCGCUCCAGCUAGAUUGUAUUUAGCAAAUGGGUGGUUUUUAUACGAGCGGAGUUGUUAAAAGAAAUUUCACAAGAAAUUUCUUGAAAUUUCUUUUUUCCCCCAUGUUUCUUAACUCUGUUCGUGAAUGAUCGAAGAUCGCUAUGUCCCCGUUAGAAGCUAUGGUAAAGAAUCGAUUGUGCGGUAGUCGACCAAUUGCAUUCGAAACGAGUAUAUCGAAAUUCGUCCAGCUCUUCGAAAUCCAAAAUGGCGGCCAAUGGCCUUGAGGUCCCCGUCUGAGCUUGAUAAAAAUUUGUGUCAUCAGCUAUAAUUUUUAUCUCAAGACUAGUAUUUCGCACUGUUUUAAUACAUUCUGUGAAACUUAUUGGUGGUUCAUGUGAAGUUCCUUAGAAUUACAAUAAUAUCAGUCAUUAGCCAUGGAAUCUCUGUGUAAUAAUUACACCAGUGAUGACGAAAAUGACAGCAAUUGCAAGGACAGCCCAAGAUCCUCCAACUCAAAAUCAGAAUCUAAGGAGAUGGAUGCAAACUAUGAAUCAAUAACUAUGGAUAUGAGUGAGUGUACCAACUGAAGUGAUAGAAUCUGAUGGGACUUCUCGACGGCUUCGGCUUCCACCUCCGAGCCCACUUUGAGCGACGGUGAGUCUGUUGCCUCAUCCUUUCUCCGUAACCGAACUUUUUCAAAGUGGGUUUGUAUGCCUGUAGCUCAAGGUAAAUAUCAGCCAUUGUCUUAAUCUUACUUCAUAUUUCUCCAGGAUUCUCUGCCGCUCCCCUUAAAUUAUCUUCUCCCUUUGUUCCUUAUUCAAAAUUUAACCCAUGCAGUAAACUCCUAUAGCCCUAUUUACAUAGCAUAAUGAAGGAUAGCAUCUGUGUUCAUGGUCUUCGAUGGAUCUCAUUGUCAGACCUACCAAUUACACACACCAAAAAAUAUUGAAUGAACUGAUGCUCAAGUUAUGCUGAAGCACAUAUCGUCACCUUCCAGGCAAAGUAUCACAAGCGCCAUGCGACGUCUCAAAAUUUCCGGCGCCAUUUUACUUUUUUACAGAGAAAUUGAUGGUUGAAUCUGUUUGAAAAUUUCACUGAAUUUUAUCGGCAGCACAAAGAAAAUUCAGUGAAAUUUUCGAACAGCCUUGUUGAACAAGUUCUCUGUAAAAAAAUAAAAUGGUGGCGAAAAUUUUUAAAUGUCGCAUGGCGCUUGUGAUACUUUGCCUGGAAGGUGGCGAUAUCUUAGUGCAGAUUGUUUGUCUUGGUGCUAAUUGUUUCUUCCAUUAAUAUUUUUUUCGUACAUGAGUACAUCAGAAUUCAUGUUAGUAUACUUCUUUCACCAUUAAAGAGAAUCUUUAACCACUCACAUUCUGAAGGCAAAUUUGCCUCAGAAAUUGCAUGACCAAAAUUUAGAAAGCAAGCUGAAGAUUUGAAAACUUGAAAAUUUGAUUUAAUCAUAUUAAUUGAUGCGUGUAAAUAGUGCUAAAGAAGAAAUGUUGCAAAACGGAUUAGAAUGGUGUGUCCUCAGAUGAGUGCGAAAAAAAAGACGGACCAUUGUGUAUACAGUACCUUAAGAUGGCUAUGUUUAGAGGUAAAAUUCCGAGUCUCUCACUUGCUGUGUCACAGUGUAAAGUGUUGACACAGAUAGUUGGUAUGAGAGGUGUUUUUAAAGUAUUUUCCUAACUAAACAUUUUUACAAACUAGUUUUUCCAACAACAUUUCAUCCGUUUUAAAGGCUAUUUUAAUUAAUUUUUGUGUCAAUCCCCAUUCCCUCUUUUUCUGUAAAGUUAUUGAUUUUGCGUAAAACAGGGUCAUUAUCAUUUAUUGUAAGAGGAAGGACUCACAAUCAUUUUACAAGCUAGAUCAUCAUAAUUUCUAUUGUUUGAAAUACUCCUUUAAAAACUUUGUAGAGAACUUGCUGAAAAGCAUCUAUUAGAUAAAAAGAGUAUACACAUGAGAGAGAAAAAAAGAAGAAGAAAACUACUUGAGUACUUCAACAACUUAGAAUUAAAAUUAGUCCUCUUAAACAUAUGAAGCAUAUCGACUCAGAAAACGACAAAUUUUGACUGAAAUUAAAUGAUUACCAAAAGGAGAGAUCAAAAAAAAAAAAAAAUUUCCUCCUAGAACAUUGCAAUUUUCAAGGUUCUAAAUUUAAGAAAAAUUUGAAGUAUACUGAAUUCUUCUGGAUUAGACACUCGAAAUUUUCAACACUCUUAUAGCUGCUAAGUAAUAAACUUUCCAACUUUUAAGUACUAAUCAUAUUUUCCUAAUUGGCCAGUUCAUCAGUCGCCAAUACUUAGAUAUCCUUCUGACAUGGCAUGAGAGUCCAACUUGGCUCUAAAAAUGUCUUUUCAAUGCACAAUGGAGGUGUAUGGUCUAUAGUUUUUUCAUAGUCAUUUCUUUGCGAAAUUGGUCAGGAGUUCAGGUUUUAAAUCUCAAUGUCACUUACUGGCGUACAAAUUGUGUUUCCUAUCAAGUGAAUGAAUUUACGAAUAGGUAUAGAAGAAAUCCUCAAGAGUGAAUUGCCUCCAUGUAUCAGAUUUUGCGAUGACACCUGAAUCAUUUGUUGACUGUGUAACCUUUGUCUCUGAUCCUGUACUUACAUCUAAGUAUUUAUUUUCAUUUCUCUUAGUUUGUUUUUCUUUCAUUUUCAAAAAUACAUGAACAAUUUUGAUAAAAAUAUUAAUUUGUUUGGGAUUGAUGAUGUCCGUGCUUGCAAAUAACAGAUUUUGAAUUGCAACUCUUUUAAAUGAUUAGUUUUCACAUUUGAAAGCUUACAUUUGUGUGUUGACAUCCCACUUUUCCCCCGCUAUCACUGAAUAUUUUCCCCCUUCUGAAAUCCUUAGGUAAUUAAUUUGUGUUGCACUCUAAUGAGCCUCAAUAGAGCUUUUGAAAGUUGUCAUUAUGAAAUUUUAAUUUUCUUUUUCUUUUGACGAGUGGUUGGUCCAGCUCAUUCUACUUUUUUAGUUUCAAUUGUUAUUAAUUCGUGAGGAAAUCUGUGGAAAGGAUCCUUAUCUUCUAGGAGAAAAUGUUCCUCAACUUUUUGAAAUUGCACAAGGAAGAAAAUCUGGACACUUAAGCGCAAUAUUGAGCAGAAAUUCUAUGUAAUUGAAAGGCAUAUUAGUCCCGAAGUUUCAAGACUGAAAUUCUGAGGUUGUAGGAAGAUGCAGUUUAAGUGUUUGCAAAAAGUUGAGGAAAAUUCCCCAAGAUAUUUUCCCAAAGA
Molecule: long non-coding RNA, 3229 nt
Filed under: Bemisia tabaci
Lineage: Eukaryota; Metazoa; Arthropoda; Insecta; Hemiptera; Aleyrodidae
Description: lncRNA ENSSSA3NGG012980
Source: RNAcentral